GGGUCAGUUAUGAAAACUUAUUGUCCUGAAGUGACAUGAUGACGUAAAAAUUGUGAUCAAUUGAAUUAUGAUGAAGAUAAACCU
Molecule: small nucleolar RNA, 84 nt
Organism: Camelus dromedarius (Arabian camel)
Lineage: Eukaryota; Metazoa; Chordata; Mammalia; Artiodactyla; Camelidae
Gene: SNORD115
Rfam family: Small nucleolar RNA SNORD115
About the family: HBII-52 is a member of the C/D class of snoRNAs, which contain the C (UGAUGA) and D (CUGA) box motifs. HBII-52 is encoded in a tandemly repeated array with another C/D snoRNA, HBII-85, in the Prader-Willi syndrome (PWS) region of chromosome 15.
Source: Ensembl